UUCAAUCCCACUUUUCCCACAGGGUUGGACCCCGGAGUCCAAUUUUGUGACACAAACAAGACCCUGAAUUCCUAAACUGGGAAAAACAGGGAAUUUCAGGAGGGAACAACCUUCCCGUAGGAAAAGCUUCCUCCAGGCUCUCUUUGCCUGGGCCAUAAAGCACCAAAAUUCCCUUUUUGCCCUCAAAUUUCCUGGGAUUUCCCGUGCCAGGAGUGGGCAAUGCUGUCCCUGCAGUCCCUGAAAUUCCCAGUGCUGUUCAAUUCCAGCUGGAGAGAGCAGCAGAGAGUCCCGGAGGUUGUACCCGGAGCAGCAUUCCCGGGAUUUCCCCAUUCCCAGGGAAUUUAGGGAAGCUCUGCCCCCCCCAGCUAAUUCCAAAGGAGGUGCUGGGGUCUCUCCCUGCACACAGAACUUCCCAGUGGGAAUUUCCCUUCCCUGUUUUCCGCUCCCUGGCACAGGCAGCUGCACCCCCUCGGCCGCACGGACGGAUUGGAUUCCCUGAGAAAAUUCCAGAGGCGCUUCCAGUGUUUCAAAGGAAAAUGAAGCCCCUUUGGAAAUGUGAAGCUCCGAGAUAAUGACCGGAUCGCUCCAGGACUGGAUGGGAACAGGGAAAAAAGGGAAAAGGGAGGAGGAAAGAAAGGAAAGGAACCAAAUCAAGCCCCAAAUGCCAACCCUAUCCAGAGGAAAUUCCAGGUGGGAUUUGCUGCCAAGGCGAAGGGCUCGGUACCCCUUGUUUCCUCAAGGACUCCUGAAAUUCCACUUUUCUCUUUGGGAUCUUUUUAAAAUUCCCUUUUUUUGACUCAAACAGCCAAAAUUUUGGGCCCAUCCUGAGGGAGGGACCCCUCACCCACCCCACAGGCCAAGGAGCCUUAAAAA
Non-coding RNA from Zonotrichia albicollis (white-throated sparrow), 873 nucleotides. NCBI's taxonomy places the organism in Eukaryota, Metazoa, Chordata, Aves, Passeriformes, Passerellidae. The record is from RefSeq and is a predicted model, not a curated record.